CCUAGUACUGAUGUGCAGGUGAAACAUGUCAGCUGUUUAACUGUGUUCUGCAAGAAGUGGAGAAAAGUUUGCAUGUCCAUAACACCGUGCAAAGAAACAGUAAGAACCCAGAAUUGAAUUUGGUUAGGAAUGGAGAGAUAUGUUCAAGGUGAGCAUACUGUGAAUUGAAGGCAGUGUGGAGACAGAGUAGGAAUGGUGCACAAAGAAGGUAUCAAGGUUUUGCUCUGCCAACACCACACUGUCUCUGGGAAGAGGUCACCACCAUGCUGCUCCGAGAGGGCGCUCCC
This is a long non-coding RNA of Alligator sinensis (Chinese alligator), 287 nucleotides long. RefSeq lists it as uncharacterized. The record is from RefSeq and is a predicted model, not a curated record. NCBI's taxonomy places the organism in Eukaryota, Metazoa, Chordata, Crocodylia, Alligatoridae. The transcript is spliced from 3 exons.